RNAcentral lists this long non-coding RNA (2155 nucleotides) under Pomacea canaliculata. Its description in RNAcentral is "uncharacterized LOC112563783, transcript variant X3". Lineage: Eukaryota; Metazoa; Mollusca; Gastropoda; Architaenioglossa; Ampullariidae. The record is from RNAcentral.
UCGAUGAGUUAGUGUGCGGAACUUUUUUUAGUCAACACCUAAUGACAUUUUAUAGUGCGGAAGUCACGUGGGGUUUCUUGUCCAAUGGUUUUUUUAAUUACAUCAGCUUUCUUUUGAGUGGUUCAAAAUCGUCUGCUGUUUUUGAACGAGAGAGCUGGGAGAAAGUGGUGUCGUAUAGAGGUAGAAAAAAUGAAUUGUGUUCGUCGUGUGUAUACUCCUGAGGGAUUUAUUUUGAACAAAAGCUCUACAAUACCAUAUGUUCUUGCUGUUACGCAACUUUCUGGAGAAGUUUUGUACUUUUUACGCGAGUGCUGACUGAUGAACAACCGUCGGACGCACGUGAUUGUUGUGAGGAAAAUGGUGAUAAAUUCUUAAAAUUCUUGGAUAUUGUGCUUCGUACUGAGUGGACUAAAGGAAGAGAGUUGUUUGGAUAGAUUUGCUCCUGUUGGUUGCGACAGACCAUCCAUAGUUAUUCUCGUGUCUGCCGGCCUGAGCUACCUUUUCAGACACCAUCUGUUCAGCCAAGCAUGCAAUUUUUCUUCUUGCGCUGGCCCACGUCAGAGGGAAGCAGCCCUGAGACUGAAGGAUUAAACAGGAGGAGAAGAAAGGGACUGCAAAGAUUUGGAUGGCAGGAGAAAAUCUGUUAUACGAUGACAGAACCUCAUUUGAUUUAAGUGGAGAUACUUGAAGACUUCUGCCUUUCCAAACAGUUGAGGAUUAUUCACUCGGAGUUUGCAAAAGCACUGUAGGACCAGACGUCGAGGCAUGUGGCUCAAAGAUGUUUUUUUCUUCAUGGGGCAACACGGAGGAAUGUGACCAGUUGAAAGUGCGACCACAGCCAAACCAGAUGCCUGCCAGAAAAGAAUCAGAAAACGAAGCCAUUUUCAUCACCGCAGCUGGACUGAAUGUGCACUUACGAGGGCCUAGAAAGUUACUAAACAGGCAAGAAGGGAUGUGAUGUCCAUCUCAACCUGCCGCUAAGGAUAGGGUCGUGAAGACUGAAAUCAUCUCCAUUGGACUCAGUGGAUUAUUUUUUUUAAGACUGCAAACCUUUGAGACCUGACGCUAAGCAGCCGUCUCAAACACAAACAGGUACCAGGAUGCAAGAGUCGGUUCUUCUUUUCUGUCACAUAUCUGCUUUUAAUUAAAUGCACGCUUUAUUACACCUGGUUAUCUCAAAUAUUCGUGUCCCACCCACAUUCUUCUCUCUCGCUGUUCUCCCUCGCACAUGCUUAAGCCGGAUGUAGUCUCGGGGGGAAAAAAAGCAUGCAGAAAAUAAUGUGCAUAAGUUCUGCGUUUGUCAGCCGUGGAAAGGACAAAAAAUAAAAAAAAAAAAAUCAAGACGUACGACAGCAAAGAGCGGCGAGAUAAAUAUGUCACCCAGAAAGAGCUAGAGUUCUGCACGGAUAGCGGUGCUACUACCCCACCCACACCAUUUAGGGCGAGACCUGUGUAAAAGAGCUUGUGUGUGGCUCUCUAGUCCUCUCGCCCAUACCGAGCUCGUCAGAGCGGAAAUGACAUAUGGGUUUUGCGAAAGAACGUGAGAAAGUGAGAAGGAGACAUGAAAACACAGGUAGGCUGACUAAAACCAGUGCAGCUAAGAUUGCGGAGGUAGAGCUACGGACACAGGUAACGAGUCUCUGUGUGGAAGGGGUAGGGGUGUGGAAAAGUAGGUUAAAAAUGACUGAUGGGAUAUGUUACGCACCCCUUUCCUCGCCGGGAAAGAAAAACUUCACUGGCUGAAUGGACUGAUGGGACCUCAGCGGCUUUUGUACUGAGUUCACCCCCAAACCGUGCCUUAUCCGAUACGUUGCCAACUUUCUCGCUCCUCUAGUUUGUGUGUGUGUGUGGGUAAUACAAUCAUUAGAUGUAGCAGCAUAAACUUCAAACUACUGAACUUUUCAUACUGCAGAAAGCACGCAUACUGUUACACACAUACGUUACACUCACAACCACUUACUCUACUCACAGACAGGUGUUCAGAUGCGUAAACAUGAGCACACCUACACAUUGUCACGCGCCUGCGCGUGUGGAUGCAAACGAAGAUUACUCAAGGAUUUAUAACAAUUUUGUUGGAGGUAGGGUAAGAUGGUAGAGAUUAAACAUGACAGACUGUUAAACUGACGACAUUCUAUCUACACUGAAGUCAACUCAU